GUGAAUCAUCGAAUUUUUGAACGCAAAUUGCACUCUCCUCGGAGAGUAUGCCUGUUUGAGGGUCAGCCUAUAAAAAAUCGACAUAGUUGCUGUUUCGCGGUGACGUUCGUCGGAAAUUAGGUAAUCUUAAAUCCUGUUGGUUUUAAGUGAAUUAAAAUUUUCUUUUUGGUUGCUUGAACGUUUCUAAGAUUUAUUUUGUUACACGUUUAAGGGUAUCGAUUUUUAUUAGACGUGAAUAUCAUAUCAGACCGCGUCCAUAACCUU
This 264-nucleotide unclassified non-coding RNA is filed under the name Glomus sp. RNAcentral describes it as "partial contains 5.8S ribosomal RNA and internal transcribed spacer 2". The stretch from base 1 to 65 matches the Rfam family "5.8S ribosomal RNA", at positions 84 to 154 of the family's 154-position model. Lineage: Eukaryota; Fungi; Glomeromycota; Glomeromycetes; Glomerales; Glomeraceae. The record is from RNAcentral.